Molecule: ribosomal RNA, 1358 nt
Filed under: metagenome
Description: bacterial SSU rRNA
Rfam family: Eukaryotic small subunit ribosomal RNA
Source: RNAcentral
ACUGGUUGAUCUUGCCAGCAAGAUACACUUGUUUUGAAGCUUAAGCCAUGCAUGUGUAAGAAUAAGCAUUUAAACAGCAAAUCUGCAUACAGCUCAUUAACCUGGAUCAAUGUGGGCAGGAGAGUCAAGUUACACGGAUAACCGCAGAAAUUCUGGGGCUAAUACGUGUUUCGGGGCAACCUGUGAUGCGCGAUUUUCCUCCGGUGCUGGAAGCAGCUCAUUAGGAUUGAAUCGCAGUAUCCUAGGACCAAUUUAGGUCCUCUUCUGCAUCGCGUCCAGCCGCAUCAUCUUGUAGCGAGGGUCUUGCCACCUGCUCGGAUGUAACGCGUACGAGGAAUUGACGUUCGAUUUCGGAGAAGGAGCCUGAGAAACAGCUACUACUUCUAAGGGAGGCAGCAGGCGCGAAAAUUACCCAAUGGCGAUUCGCCGAGGUAGUGAAGACAUGUAACAACGCAGUUCUCGUUUGAGAGUUGCGAUUGGAAUGAGUUGCGUACAAAUCACGCAGCGAGGAUCAAAUGGAGGAAAAGUCUGGUGCCAGCACCCGCGGUAAUUCCAGCUCCAUUAGUGUAACUUAGCGUUGUUGCGGUUGAAAAGCUCGUAGUCGGAGGUGGAUGGAUUUAUUCGCUCGGUCUACCGAUUGGUCUGAACGACGAGAAACCAUCUUUGUUCGUAUGCGUAGGUUUGUACUUAACUGUGCGAGCCUAGAUCGCUGCGGACUGUAUACUGUGAACAAAUCAGAGCGCUCAAAGCAGGCUUAUGCUUGUAUGUGUUAGCAUGGCAUAUUAAAAGAAGGCAGUCGACAACCUAUCGGGGGGUGUAGGCUGCAAUGAUCAAUGGGAGUGGACGAGGCUGUCGGUACUGCUGGGCGAGCGGUGAAAUGUGUCGACCCUAGCAAGACCAUCUGAUGCAAAGGCUGUCAGCUAGCUCAUUUUCGUCGAUCAAGAACGAAAGUUUGGGGAUCGAAGAUGAUCAGAUACCGUCGUAGUCCCAACCGUAAACUAUGGCGACCGUGUAUCAGAAGGAGCCCACGAUGGCCCUUUUGGCGCCCUGAGAGAAAUCAGAGUUAUUCGUCUCCGGGGGGAGUAUGGUCACAAGGCUGAAACUUAAAAGAAUUGACGGAAGCACACCACCAGGAGUGGAGUCUGCGGCUUAAUUCGACCCAACACGGGGAAUCUUACCGAGUCAGGACAUAGCUAGGAUUGACAGAUUAACUGGAUCUUUCUUGAUUCUAUGGGUGGUGGUGCAUGGCCGAUCUUAGUCGGUGAGGUGACUUGUCUGGUUAAUUCCGAUAACGGACGAGACCUUGGUCUAUUAAAUAGAUAGUCGUACGGCUUAAUGGGUGAAAGGUGUGGGCGUCC